GGAUUUUCCAAUUACUCCUCCUAAUGGUAGGAAGCGAAGAAACAGAUCUACCAAAGAGCCCUGAAAGCAGCAAGCAAUUUUGGCUACCAAAAGAAGAGUCCCGAGUAAGCGCCCUAUCAUGUCUAUAUGAGUUGUGAUCCAAGCGACCCAUAUCAAGCAGUUGGGGAACGAGUGUCCGUCUGAGAAUUCUAACGGCGUUGGUGCAUGCAGCUGUCAUCUCUGCUUUUCUAACCAUUGCUCAAGCCAUGUCUGAUCAAGGAUGCGUAUAGAAGUCAGGGAUAACAUAUUCAUCCACAAGCUUCACUAAAGUUGUAUGAUUUCUGAAGAAGGCACUCCUUGGCUUGAAGAUGAUUGAUCAUUAUCUGCGCCGUGCGGAUCCUUAAUGCCAGGGAAGGUCCAAGAUCUGAACCUCGACAUGUGUAAUAUCAACUGAGACACAAAAAGCUAAUCGGUGAGGGGUUAAUUACAACAUAUUUUAUUGUAAAAAUAUCCGUAGUUCUUGUGGUAGAAUAGAAGGACGCUAGAGCCCGAAGGGGUGUGUGUUCUAUUCUGGACCCAUUAACCAAUCCAGAUGUUGCAGUCUUGUGAAAUAUUAGAAUACUGUGAAUAGAAAUAAAAUCAAUCAUUCAUCGUU
Molecule: long non-coding RNA, 634 nt
Organism: Populus euphratica (Euphrates poplar)
Lineage: Eukaryota; Viridiplantae; Streptophyta; Magnoliopsida; Malpighiales; Salicaceae
Exons: 2
Source: RefSeq, a predicted model, not a curated record